AACGAACGCUGGCGGCAUGCCUAACACAUGCAAGUCGAACGAGACCUUCGGGUCUAGUGGCGCACGGGUGCGUAACGCGUGGGAACCUGCCCUUAGGUUCGGAAUAACUCCCCGAAAGGGGUGCUAAAACCGGAUAAUGUCUUCGGACCAAAGAUUUAUCGCCUUUGGAUGGGCCCGCGUUGGAUUAGCUAGUUGGUAGGGUAAAAGCCUACCAAGGCGACGAUCCAUAGCUGGUCUGAGAGGAUGAUCAGCCACACUGGGACUGAGACACGGCCCAGACUCCUACGGGAGGCAGCAGUGGGGAAUAUUGGACCAUGGGCGAAAGCCUGAUCCAGCAAUGCCGCGUGAGUGAUGAAGGCCUUAGGGUUGUAAAGCUCUUUUACCCGGGAUGAUAAUGACAGUACCGGGAGAAUAAGCUCCGGCUAACUCCGUG
Molecule: ribosomal RNA, 433 nt
Filed under: uncultured bacterium
Lineage: Bacteria
Description: partial 16S ribosomal RNA
Rfam family: Bacterial small subunit ribosomal RNA
Source: RNAcentral